UACGAAGGGGGUUAGCGUUGCUCGGAAUUACUGGGCGUAAAGCGCACGUAGGCGGCUUUCUAAGUCGGGGGUGAAAUCCUGGAGCUCAACUCCAGAACUGCCUUCGAUACUGGAAAGCUCGAGUCCGGGAGAGGUGAGUGGAACUGCGAGUGUAGAGGUGAAAUUCGUAGAUAUUCGCAAGAACACCAGUGGCGAAGGCGGCUCACUGGCCCGGUACUGACGCUGAGGUGCGAAAGCGUGGGGGGCAAACAGG
This 253-nucleotide ribosomal RNA is filed under the name uncultured bacterium. RNAcentral describes it as "partial 16S ribosomal RNA". It matches the Rfam family "Bacterial small subunit ribosomal RNA", at positions 524 to 776 of the family's 1533-position model. The record is from RNAcentral.